CCACUCACUGAUUGUGAGUUGAUCAAAUACAUCUUGGCUGGACUUGGGUCAAAUUAUAAUCCUUUUAUCACUUCCAUUACUACUCGGCUUGAACCCAUGAAUUUAUAGGAGAUCUAUAGGCAUCUCCUCAACUAUGAGC
This is a small nucleolar RNA of Juglans microcarpa x Juglans regia, 139 nucleotides long. RefSeq annotates it as small nucleolar RNA Z247. The transcript has a single exon. Lineage: Eukaryota; Viridiplantae; Streptophyta; Magnoliopsida; Fagales; Juglandaceae. The record is from RefSeq and is a predicted model, not a curated record.